Molecule: ribosomal RNA, 1281 nt
Filed under: Klebsiella pneumoniae
Lineage: Bacteria; Pseudomonadati; Pseudomonadota; Gammaproteobacteria; Enterobacterales; Enterobacteriaceae
Description: partial 16S ribosomal RNA
Rfam family: Bacterial small subunit ribosomal RNA
Source: RNAcentral
CACCUGCCGGGGGCCCUACCAUGCAGUCGAGCGGUAGCACAGAGAGCUUGCUCUCGGGUGACGAGCGGCGGACGGGUGAGUAAUGUCUGGGAAACUGCCUGAUGGAGGGGGAUAACUACUGGAAACGGUAGCUAAUACCGCAUAACGUCGCAAGACCAAAGUGGGGGACCUUCGGGCCUCAUGCCAUCAGAUGUGCCCAGAUGGGAUUAGCUGGUAGGUGGGGUAACGGCUCACCUAGGCGACGAUCCCUAGCUGGUCUGAGAGGAUGACCAGCCACACUGGAACUGAGACACGGUCCAGACUCCUACGGGAGGCAGCAGUGGGGAAUAUUGCACAAUGGGCGCAAGCCUGAUGCAGCCAUGCCGCGUGUGUGAAGAAGGCCUUCGGGUUGUAAAGCACUUUCAGCGGGGAGGAAGGCGGUGAGGUUAAUAACCUCGUCGAUUGACGUUACCCGCAGAAGAAGCACCGGCUAACUCCGUGCCAGCAGCCGCGGUAAUACGGAGGGUGCAAGCGUUAAUCGGAAUUACUGGGCGUAAAGCGCACGCAGGCGGUCUGUCAAGUCGGAUGUGAAAUCCCCGGGCUCAACCUGGGAACUGCAUUCGAAACUGGCAGGCUAGAGUCUUGUAGAGGGGGGUAGAAUUCCAGGUGUAGCGGUGAAAUGCGUAGAGAUCUGGAGGAAUACCGGUGGCGAAGGCGGCCCCCUGGACAAAGACUGACGCUCAGGUGCGAAAGCGUGUGGAGCAAACAGGAUUAGAUACCCUGGUAGUCCACGCUGUAAACGAUGUCGAUUUGGAGGUUGUGCCCUUGAGGCGUGGCUUCCGGAGCUAACGCGUUAAAUCGACCGCCUGGGGAGUACGGCCGCAAGGUUAAAACUCAAAUGAAUUGACGGGGGCCCGCACAAGCGGUGGAGCAUGUGGUUUAAUUCGAUGCAACGCGAAGAACCUUACCUGGUCUUGACAUCCACAGAACUUUCCAGAGAUGGAUUGUGCCUUCAGGACUGUGAGACAGGUGCUGCAUGCUGUCGUCAGCUCGUGUUGUGAAAUGUUGGUAGUCCGCAUCGAGCGCAACCUUAUCCUUUGUUGCAGGGUCGCAGGGACUCAAGAGCCUGCCAGUGAUAAACUGAGAGGUGCGGAUGACGUCAGUAUCAUGGUGCUUACGACAGACUACCACGUGCUACAUGCCAUUACCAGAUAGGACCUCCGGAGACAGCGACGCUAAGAUGUCUGAUCGGAUGGAUCGCAUCGACUCUGGGUCAGAGUGCUAGAAAUCGGAAUACAAUGG